Molecule: unclassified non-coding RNA, 386 nt
Filed under: uncultured bacterium
Lineage: Bacteria
Description: contains 16S-23S intergenic spacer region
Source: RNAcentral
UCCUGGUUUCCCAGGCAGUCUCGUCAGAGUGCCUUACGUAAAGUAGUUGCAACUGACGACAAGGGUUGCGCUCGUUAGAGGACUUAACCCAACAUCUCACGACACGAGCUGACGACAGCCAUGCAGCACCUGUAUACCUGUCUAAGCUUUCGCUCAGAAGACUCUGUUUCUAGAGCUGUCAGGUACAUGUCAAGCCCAGGUAAGGUUCCUCGCGUAGUGUCGAAUUAAACCACAUGAUCCACCGCUUGUGCGGGCCCCCGUCAAUUUCUUUGAGUUUUAAUCUUGCGAUCGUAGUCCCCAGGCGGAUCACUUAACGCGUUAGCUGCGAUACCAAUUCUGUUAAACAGAACUGACAUCUAGUGAUCAUCGUUUACAGCGUGGACUAC